GCCGCUAUAGCUCAGUGGUUAGAGCGUUGGUUUCGUGUUCAAAGGUCGUAAGUUCGAAUCUUGUUGGCGGCA
Molecule: non-coding RNA, 72 nt
Organism: Trichonephila inaurata madagascariensis
Lineage: Eukaryota; Metazoa; Arthropoda; Arachnida; Araneae; Nephilidae
Source: the annotation of a GenBank genome assembly